Molecule: ribosomal RNA, 274 nt
Filed under: uncultured bacterium
Lineage: Bacteria
Description: partial 16S ribosomal RNA
Rfam family: Archaeal small subunit ribosomal RNA
Source: RNAcentral
AAACCAGCACCUCAAGUGGUCAGGAUGAUUAUUGGGCCUAAAGCAUCCGUAGCCGGCUCUGUAAGUUUUCGGUUAAAUCUAUAUGCUCAACAUAUAGGCUGCCGGGAAUACUGCACAGCUAGGGAGUGGGAGAGGUAGACGGUACUCGGUAGGAAGGGGUAAAAUCCUUUGAUCUAUUGAUGACCACCUGUGGCGAAGGCGGUCUACUAGAACACGUUCGACGGUGAGGGAUGAAAGCUAGGGGAGCAAACCGGAUUAGAAACCCCAGUAGUCC